This 72-nucleotide transfer RNA is filed under the name Camelus bactrianus (Bactrian camel). It matches the Rfam family "tRNA". Rfam says of the family: Transfer RNA (tRNA) molecules are approximately 80 nucleotides in length. Their secondary structure includes four short double-helical elements and three loops (D, anti-codon, and T loops). Lineage: Eukaryota; Metazoa; Chordata; Mammalia; Artiodactyla; Camelidae. RNAcentral also lists the same sequence under 2 other names. The record is from Rfam by way of RNAcentral.
GAGGGUGUAGCUCAGUAGUAGAGCAUGUGUUUAGCACACACAAGGUCCUGGGUUCAAUCCCCAGCACCUCCA